RNAcentral lists this long non-coding RNA (39411 nucleotides) under Cucumis sativus (cucumber). RNAcentral's name for it is "long non-coding RNA (CSAT_LNC000826)". The stretch from base 12780 to 12851 matches the Rfam family "tRNA". Lineage: Eukaryota; Viridiplantae; Streptophyta; Magnoliopsida; Cucurbitales; Cucurbitaceae. The record is from RNAcentral.
AACUUUAUCUUUUGGUUUCCUUUUGCUGGUGAGUUUGGGCUUAGCUUCGGCGGCCCGAUCUCUUCUUUCUUACGAUAUUCCUCCUCAUCGAUCUGGAUACGAUAAUUAUGAUCAUCCUGUAGUUAACCCUAAAGUAGGAUACGAACAUGACCGUCGUGAUGGAUACUACCAUGACCGUGACCAUCAUGAUGCACCUUAUGGUGGUGGUGCUGGUGGAGGAUAUGGAGCUGGAGCUGGAGCUGGCUCAUCUCUUGGAGGCUCUGGAUAUGGAAGUGGAGGAGGUGGUGGUUCUGGAUAUGGAGGUGUAGGAAACCACGAGGUUGGUUAUGGUAGUGGUGGAGGGGGUGGAUAUGGAGCUGGAGUUGGCUCUGACCUUGGUGGUAGCGGAUACGGAAGCGGUGGUGGUGGAGGCAGUGGAGGAGGAUACGGUGAUUUAGGAGGACGUGGAAAAGGGUACGGUAGCGGUGGAGGUGGAGGAAGUGGAUAUGGAGGUAGAGGAGACCAUGGAGUUGGUUAUGGAAGUGGUGGAGGUGGAGGAUAUGGAAGUGGAGUAGGUGGUGGUGCAGGAGUGGUAGACCAUGGUGUAGGUUAUGGGAGUGGAGGAGGAGGUGGGGCUGGUAGUGGUUAUGGUGGUUCCAAAGGAUAUGGAGGUGGAAGCGGCGGCGGUGGGGGAGCCGGUUAUGGUGGUGGAGCACAUGGAAGUGGAUAUGGAAGUGGUGGUGGAGCUGGAAGUGGUGAAGAAGGAGGAUAUGAUGGUGGAUAUGCACCGUAAACAAAGAAAAGAAAAGAAAAAGCUCAAAGUUUUAUGGCUAAAAUGAGAAUGCUUACCCUAAUAUCAUCAAUGUGUGUGUGUGUUAGCAAAAAAAAAAAAUAAAAGAAUUUGGGUAAGAAAUGUUAUAUUAAUUAUCUUUGAGCUUUUAAGUAAUUUGAAUGUAAUAUAAUAUAUAUAUAAAAAAAGCUAAUCCAUGUGUUCCAAAGUGAACCAACAUGAAGUAUAUUUUCUCCCUUUGUCAUCAUGAUCAUCUUAAACUUGUGGUUAUUAUGUGGGCUCUCAUUAUUAUUCCAAGAUAGCAACGUCGGGAUAUUCAAAUAUUUUUCAUAUGUAAUGUCUUAAGACUAAAUCACUAUGAUCUAUAUGCUUUAAUUAAGUUCAAAACUAUUUUGGAAGCAUUAUGAUUAAUAUAUUGAUUACUUAAAUACUAUUAUAUGGUUUUCAAGGUAACUUGAUGUUGUUAAUAAAAGAAAUCUUUAAUAUUUAAUCAGUCCUUUCUCUUAAAAUUUAGUAAAAAUAAAUACUAAAAUGGUAUGAUGUUUUAUGGUUGGAUUUGGGGUAUGUGUUUUGGCUUGUCCCUCUAGUUGUGACUUGUUCAAAAUAAGUGUACAAUCAAAUUCACUUGGGUUAUUAAAGACAAUUGAUAAACAAAAAUUGCCAAAACGAUAGAGCAUAACUAUUUAAUCGGUAUAAAACUUGUACAAUCCAUUAAUCAUAAUAUACUUUUUCUAAUUGAUCUCUAAUUGAUCGUACAUACUAGUUAGUGUCGAUAAAAAACUCAAUUUGACGUAUAAAUAUUUGUUUGUUGUAAAUGAACAUCUAAGUAUAUUCUUGAUUAAUUAUUCUUAUACUAAGAGUAACAUUGACCCCUCUAUUCUUUAGUAUUUGGUUAAAAGAAUAAAAAAUUAGUAAGUGAUGAAUCUUAGUGUGCUAUAGGUUGAUCAACCAAUUAAAAUUAGUCGUUUCAAGCAAUACUUUCGAAAAAAUUCAUUAAAUAGGAGUUAUUUAAACUAUCAACCCUGAGUUUUUAUACAUUACAAUAAAUUUAAUCUUUGAUGUCGGUCAAAAACUAAUAUAUAGGAGUACAAUAUAGAUCACCAGAUCGAUAUGGAAGACAAUGUUAUGGAAGAUGUUCAAUGUUAAUCACUUUUAUGUUCGUUUUGGUCUUGGCAUUAUAAAUAAUUUAAAUGGUAGUUUUUGCUCACACUACAAAUGUGUUAGACUAUUAGUCAUCAAAUAGUUUGAAUUCCUUGUAAAAAAAAUUAGUUGAAACAAAAAUAAAUAAUUAUCUUUGCAUUAAAAUAAAAUAAAAUAAAUAAAAUAGAUUUUUUUGUGAAUAUUUUGGUCAGGUGUUCUAUUUUUUAUAAUUUCCCAUAAAAAAUAUGUGUAAUAAGUUAUUUAAAAUACUAAUAGUAUUAAUUAGUUUACUUAAUAAAUCAAUUAUAUCUCUAAAUGAUAUUUUGGUAGAUUUAAAAAUAUUUUGAUUCAUUUUGCUAUAUUUGAAAAAGAAACCAUAAAAUUCUACUUCAUAUUCGCAAUAGAUCAUGGUAAACUUAGAUAGGCAUCUAUUAUUUAUAUAUAUGGUGAUAGAUACUUAUGUAUCUAUAUCCAAGCCCAUCAUCUAAAUAUUUUCAAAUGGUUUUCAAUUGAAAACAAAUUUCUCAAUAAGUAAUUAAAAAUUAGGUUUUUAUUCACUAAUAAUUAUUAUUUAAAUGUGAACAAAUAAAGUUUAGCUCGUAUAUAAUGGGUCAGUAGGUACACUCGGAUAUCUCCACUAGAUGGACACCCCUUAGCACCCUCAUUAUCUCCGUUUCAUUAAUAUAAAAAAUCGAAUUGAAUACACGAGAAGUAAAGAGAACAACCCAAACAAAAAACAAAGAACUAGAGACAAGCCCAAAACAAGUACAAACAAUUAGAAAGCAUGAAGAAAUUAGUGCUUUAAACCCCUAAACCGCAAUGUUACUUAACAAAUAAAAUUGUUAUUUAAAAGUUUGAAGUUAUUAUUGAGUUUUAUUUUAGCAAAUUAAUCAUCUCUUAAAUUAAAAAUCUCAAACAUACAUGGAAGAUAAGAUCAAUUAAGCACAUGUUGGAUGAAUUUUGUUCGAAUAAAAAUUAAAACAACUUAUUGUUAUCAACUUAUAAGUUAUAUAUAUGAUGAUGGUGGUGCAGAGGUGAAAACUUAGUUUGAGAUCUCUCCCUACAUCUACUAUGCUUUUACGUUCUAAUGUAUUUUGUGGUAAAAAAAUCAAUUAUAAACUUUUAAGAAAAAUUUUCAUAUGUUAUUAUUUUUUCUCUAAAUUCUAAACUAGCCAGGUUAUCAACAAAACAAAUACCACUAGAGUUUAAGGGAUUAGGAAGCAUAUAUGAAUAUCUCAACUUGGUUAACACGUCGUUUUUAAACAUUUCUCAUCAGGUUGCUGUUUCAAAAGUGAUGCACUGAUGUGAAGAAACAUAUAGGAGAAAAGUGAGAUGGAAAGUUAGUAUAUUGGACAGAGUACAUAGUACAUAGUAGGUUUAUUAAUUAAUUUAUCCAAAUGAUAAUCUCAUUACCAAGCACUAUGUGAUUUAGAUAUGAAUAAAAUGUGAUCAUUUUUCCACCACUAUUACAUAGCAAAUGGGAAAACAUCUCAUUGUGGUUUGAUAUUUUAAAAAACAAUUAUGGUAAUGCAAGUCGUCUCAUAUCCCAUAAUAUUAUCUCAGUCUCAUGGCGACUGAUACAAAAGGACAAAACUAACUUCAUUAAAAUAUGUUCUCUCCUUCCUACACUUUUUAGGUAUAUAUCAUUCAUAUAUUAAUCACUGCAAUUGGUUAGGUGGACUACAAAAACAUAGAUAUAGUCCGAGAUAAAAUUAAGUACGGUUAUAUUUUACGAGACUUUUGAUGUGUUUGAUUACAUUUUCAUGUGUUUCUUUUAGAAAAUAAGUUAUUUUGAAAAAACUAAAGUAUUUUAAACAAUUUUUAGAACAAUCAAUUUCUUGAAAAAUAUUUUUUUCUUAAUUCAAUCUAAGAUGGAUCCUCAAAAUAUUUGAGGGUAGUUCUUUUAUAAAAGUAUUUACACUAGGUUGGUUUAUGAAGUAAAAUAUUGAUCGGUAAAUUCAAGUUUUAAAUUAGAAAAAUUGAAUAUUUUUAAAAAUAGAAGAAUUGGCUAACUAUUUACAACUCAUACCAAAAUUUUAAUACAAAUCCAAAGUAUCUAUUUUUUAUUUUAUUAUUAUUAUUAUUUUUUGCUAUAGGAUGUAAAUACUAUCUGUUUUCUUGUAAAUUUCUCUUACAAUCCUCUACGAGAAAGUCUUAAUUUUUAUAUUUAUGAUUUAUAUUAUAAUAUAAUUAUUUGGAACCAUAUAAUAAAUAAAAGGAAAAUUGUAAAACAUAACAUUUGACAAAAUAUCUUCGUAGAAAAAUUUGUUGUGUAAUCAAUUUUGAGGUUUUGUUAUAUGGAGCGUAAAUAUUUUGUCAAAUUUUCUAUUUGUGAAAAAAAAAACUUAUAGGUAAUUUGAAAGGUAAGUGAUCUUGUUUAAGAUCCAAAUUUCUUUUAUGAAAGUUUAAUUUAGAAUACAUACGAGAAAAAUAGAUUAAUCUAGAAUGAUAAAUGUAAGAUAGGUUUGGGAAGUACCAAUAAAUUUUAGGCAUGUGAUAGACUAUAACUGUGAAGAUAUAUAGUCUAUUGCUAUCUUGAAUGGCUCAUUCUUGUUUGAAAAUGACCUUAUUUAAAACACAACUUUUUUAUAAAAGAAAAUCCCUUGCAUCAUUCAAACAAUCUUACAAGAUCGUAUUAGUGGAAGAUGAGAUAGAAUUCUGACAUGUGUAUUAUUAGUAUACUUGAAUAGUUUCUUAUCUAACUUUUGAGCAAGUAGUGGAGAAGCUGAUCAUGAACCCUAAACCCACCGUAUCAUUCACUAUAUAAAGGAGAUCACUACAUGCAUUCUAAGGCAUCCCUUCUCCAAAUGGCUAUCUUUAGAACUUUCUCUUUCGGUUUUCUUUUGUUGGUGAGUUUAGGCUUAGCUUCUGCGACCAGAAGUCUUCUCACCUAUGAUCCACCACAUCACUCUGUAUAUGAUGAUCAUAACACUAAAGUAGGUUACGGACGUGACCAUCAUGAUCAACCUUAUGGUGGUGGUGUUGGUGCUAGUGGAGGAUAUGGAGCCGGAGCUGGCUCUGGAUAUGGAGGUGUAGGAUACGAACAUGACCAUCAUGAUGGAUACGAACGUGAUCAUGAUCGAUCUUAUGGUGGUAGUGCUGGUGGAGGAUAUGGAGUUGGAGCUGGCUCCUCUCUUGGAGGCUCUGGAUAUGGAAACGUAGAUCAUGGGGUUGGUUAUAGCAAUGGUGGAAGUGGUGGAUAUGGAGCUGGUGUUGGCUCUGACCUUGGUGGUAGCGGAUAUGGAAGCGGUAAUGGCGGAGCAAGUGGAAGUGGAAAUGGUGAUUUAGGAGGACGUGGAAAAGGCUACGGUCGCGGUGGUGUUGGAGGAAAUGGAUAUGGAGGUAGAGGAGACCAUGGCCGAGUAGUAGGCCAUGAUGAUGUAGUUUAUGGUGGUUCCAAAGGAUAUGGAGGUGGAAGUGGCGUCGGUGGGGGAGCUGGUUAUAGCGGUGGAGCAAGUGGAAGUGGAUAUGGAAGUGGUGGUGGAGCUGGAAGUGGAAGUGGCUAUGGCGGAAGUGGUGAAGAAGGAGGAUAUGAUGGUGGAUAUGCACCUUAAAUAAAAGGGGCUAAAACAUCAUCUAAAAGCUUAUCGUUAAAACGAUAAUACUUACCUAAAUAUCAAUGUUUGUUAGCAAAAAUAAAGAAUUUAGGUAAGAAUGUUAUGUUCCUCUUUUGAAUUUUAGUAACUUCAAUGAAUGUGAUAUUAUAAAAACUAGCUGUUUCAUGGGGUUCUAAAGACCAACAAACAUGCAUGAAAUACUGAGUUAAUACAACGUACGCCAUUCCAAACGUGCUAUUUUAUGGAUUCCAAAGUUGACUUUGAACUAAGGACUAAAUAAUCCUUUAACACCUUCUAAACACAAAUUAUUUCACAGACGUCAAGAUCAGUUAAUCAAGUUAAAACUUAAUAGGUCAAAUUCAUCAUUCCAAAAUGACUUGUAGAAAAAUUUUGAGACUUAGUUCGAGUAUGUUAAAUUCUAAUGUUACGAAGUUUUCUUAACAAAAUUGAGAAGGAGGUUGGGAUGGUGGAUAUGCACUCAAAAAUUUCAUCUCAAAAGAGAAUUGAGAAACAUACUUUUCAAGUAACAAACCCAAUAUUCAUAUUAAUUGGGCAACAAAAGUAAGGAAAUAGGGGUAAAAAGAGAACAUUGUUUUCUAAAUAAUCUAUGUCGAGGUUUGCUUCUUGGCCAUGAAAUUCGAACCAAUUAUUCAAUGAUAAGCAAAUUUGGAUUAAGUAUGCAUGUGUAAUGUGACAAAAUUAUUCAACCACAUUCACGUUAUUUUGCUUUCCUAAUCAUAUUUAUGAAAUAAGAUGGUUUCAUCUUUCAAAAUCAAUACACAAUUACAAAAGUAGUAAUACUUCUAUCUUAUAAACAAUGUUGAUCUCUUGAAUUUUCCAUGUAUGGAAUUAUCAACAUUCUCCGCAUAUUGUUCUAGGUUAUUUUUUUAACCAGUGUAAUCAACCUCAAACAAAAACAAAAGUGACAAAACCAAGAAAAUAACAAAAUUUUCACUUAAAUAAAAGAGGGAAAAAAAAUAGCACAUCCUAUAAGCCAAAAUAAGGGCGAGGGGUUUAGGGUUUAGGGUUAUUAGACCAAGACUACCAAAAUGUCUAAUGACUUUUAUAACGAAACAUCUAGUUUAGAUUGAUACAUAUGAUAUGUAGCAUCUUCACAGCAUCCAAGAUCAAGAGUCGAUAUAUUAUCAUGAAAAGAAAGUACAAAAGGGAAGUUAGGGAAAAACUUGGAGUCAACGUUAAGAGAACCAUUAAAAGUUUUAGAAGUUCAAUUAAUAUUUGUAAAAUUUUAAGAGCUAAAUUUUUAUAAUCCAACGUUUGAGGUCUAGUAAUUGCAAUUGACCAUCAUACUUCAGGGAUAAUUUUUGAAAAUUUCCUUUUCUAUUAUUAAAUUAUCAAGAAAAAAAAGUUUAAUGACGGUCAAAAUAAUCCCUGGCGUCCAUAUAAUAAUUUUCAAUAACAUUUCACGACACUAAAAAAAAUUGGAACUUUGCUCACAUUUUUCUAAGAAACGUAAAUAUUUUGUCAACUUUACUAUAUAUAUAUUAUUGUUACUCUUUUAAAAACUUAAGUAAUUUUGAUUCGACCAAUUUUUUUUGCUAUCAACUACAAUUGUUAAAAAAUAUAUAUAUACGAAAAAAAAUGGUUAAUUUUCAUUCACAAAAUAUUUAAAAAAGUAAAAUUUUAAAUUUGUCUCGUAUCUUUUGGAAUAAGGUUUGUCUUUAAUUAAGGAAAUUUAAAAGUUGCUAAAACAUAGCUAAAUUAAACAAAAGUUACUUUUUUAAAGAAAAUUUUUUAAAUAACAAAAUUAUUAAAAAUAUAAUUAAAUUAGAAUUUUUGAAUCUAUUAUUGAUAUAAUUAAGAAAAGUCUAUCAACAUAUAUCAAUUCUAAUAUUUUAUUAUAUUUUAAUUCAUUUGGUUAUAUUUAACAACUCAUUCCCACACAAACUAUAAUUCAAAUUAAAAACAUAUUUGAACAAAUAUUUUGUAUAAUUUAAGUGAUGAAUCGCACUAAUAUUGUUAAAAUGUGUUUAAAAUGUGAUACUUUUCCCACCAUAUUUUAUAGCAAAUGGCAGAUAAUUUAAUGUUUCUUUGAAGCAAGAAUUAGGCAAAGAAGCAUAUAUAUAUAUAUAUAUAUAUAUAUAUAUAUAUAUAUAAUAUAUAUAUAAUAUGUAAUUAAAUUUUAUAUUAUAGUUAUGCAAAAUCGUUUCAUAAGCCACUUCAUCUCUCUCUAUUUCAUGGCAUCAAGUAAACAAAAAGGGAAAAAGGGAAAAAGAGACCUAAUAAAAUAUGUGUUCUUUAAUUGGUGGAUUUUUAAUUAGCAUUAUUAAUUAAUCAAUCAUGUAAAUAUCCUACAAAGAAUAUUUGUUCUUAAGAUAAUUCAUUGCAUGAUGAAUCAAAAUUUUAGGUUGGGUGUUCCUGUAUACUUAAAAACAUUAUUGCAUUACCAAAUUAAAUUUAUACAAACCAAACGAUAUCAUUUUGUUCGUAUUAAGUUCGUUUAAGUUUAGAUGGUAUAUGAAAGUUGGUUUGUUAUGUUUAGGUUUAUUAAACAACAUUGUAUUUAGACGAUAGUGUAAACUUUAAGUUGUUAAACAUGUGUUUUAUCUUAGUCUAAUGUCGUCUAAUACAAAUAUAUUAUGAUACUUUUUAAUAUUUAAAAAUAUUUUUAGAAGUUUUAUAAAUUAAAAUAAUUUUUCUAAAAAUUAAGUUUCAUCAUUUUUAAGAGGAGAAAAGACACCCUAAACAUAAAUUAAAGAAAAUAGAAUGAUAUUGUAUUAAUUACAUAAAUUUAAUCAAAAAUUAAGAACUAAAAAUAAAAUUGUUAUCAAAAUGAAAAUUCAUUUUAACAUUCAAACCAUCCAAAAAAAAGAACAUCUAAUUACUCUAUUGUAACAGAAGUUUUAUCCUCUUAAGAAAAAAAUAGUUUAAUGUUAAAAGAGUAUACAAAACGUGUUAAUAAGUACACAACUCAAUUAGCAUAAAGCUUAAAUUUUAUUUAGAUCAAGACUCAAAUCUAUGAGAUCACAGGAUAUUGCAAAUUUAGGAUUUUAGGUUAUCGUUUAAAGUUCUAAAAUAUUGCAAAAUGGUGCAAGUGGGAAGAUGGGAUCCAAAUCAAGUAUGGAUAUGAUUUAGUUCCAAUUAUAAUUUAAGGUUAUAGUUUAAUGAUUUAGUUACAACACUUUAGUGUUUUGCCUCUUGAACUUCCCUUAAGCUAUAAUCCAUAAUUAAUAAUGUUUUUGAGCACGUGCCUUCUCUUUAAUUGCCACUAAGGUACCACACUAUAGAGAAGAGCUAAUGAAUCCUUGUUUUCUAUAUAAGGAGAUGGAUCAAUGCAUUCUAAGCAUAUACUCCUAUCCAUGGCUAUUUCUAGAGUGUUGUGCAUUGGCUUUCUUCUUUUUGUGGGGUUAGGGUUAGCUUCGGCUGCCCGAACUCUUCUUGAUUAUGAUCCACGUGCACGUCGUUAUGAUUACGAUCGUCCUACUCCAAGAGUAGGAUACGAUCCAAGCCAUCGUGAUCAAUCCUAUGAUAAUGUAUAUGGUGGAAGCUCUAGCAGAGGAUAUGGAGCUGGAGACUCUGCUCUUGGAGGUUCGGGACGAUAUGAAGGUGGUGGAGGACGUGAUUACGGACAUGGAGGCCGAAAUGAUGAUCGUGGUGUUGGAUAUGGAGGUCGAAAUGAUGAUCGUGGUGCUGAAUAUGGAGGUAGAAAUGAUGAUCAUGGUGCUGGAUAUGGAAGUCGAAAUGAUGAUCGUGGUGUUGGAUAUGGAAGUCGAAAUGAUGAUCGUGGUGUUGGAUAUGGAAGUCGAAAUGAUGAUCGUAGUGUUGGAUAUGGAGGCCGAAAUGAUGAUCGUGGAGUUGGAUAUGGUAAUGGUGGUGGAUAUGGAGGUGUAGGAGGACAUGGUGAUGGUUAUGGUAACAAUGGUGGUGGAAGCUAUGGAGAUCGUUAUGGCCCUUCUCUUGGAGGUUCAGGAUAUGGAAGUGGAGGAAAAGGAAGUGGCAAUGGCUAUGACGAUCAUUCUCGUGGAAAUGGUGCGCGUGACAAUAGCUAUGGAGAUUCUCAUGGACAUGAAGGACGUGACAGUGGAUAUGGAAGUGGUGGAGGAGUUAGUGGAGGCUAUGGCAAUGGAGGAGUUCAUGGAGGGGAGCAUGAUAAUAGCAAAGGAAGUGGAGAAGAAGGGGGUAGGGACGGUGGAUAUGCUUUCAAAAAUUCCAUCUCAAAGGAGAAUUGAGAACUCUUUUUCAAGUAAUGAACCCAAUAUCAUAUUAUGUUAACAAAAAAAAUAAAGAAUUGGGUAUAAGAGAAUGUUGUUUUCUAAAUUUAUGUUGAAUUUGUUACCAACGAAUGUCAAAUUCGAAUCAAUGGGUACAAUGAUAAUCAAAUUUAGGUUAUGUUUAUUGUGAUAAAUUUAUUGCACUCUUAUUUGUUUUGUUUCUCUAUAUAUAUUUUUUCUAUAUAUCCAUAUUAAUAUGGGUGGUUUUGGACCGAAGAAAAAAACAUCAUCUAAAAGUUUUUCGUUAAAAUCAUAUAAUUCUUACCUAAUAUCAAUGUUUGUUAGCAAAAAGUAAAAGAAUUUAGGUAAGAAUGUUAUGUUUCUCUUUGAAUUUUAGUAACUUUUUCAAUGAAGUUGUGAUAUUAUAAAAUCUAGUCAUUUCAUGAAGUUCUAAAGGCAAACAAGCAUGCACCAAAUACUCUAGCUAAUACAACGUACGCCAUUCCAAACGUGCUAUUUUAUGGAUUUCAAAGUUAAACUUUGAAACAAUCUUUUAAUACGUUCUAAACACAAAUUAUUUAACAUAAAUCAUGGGCUAAUCAAGUCCAAACUUAAUAGAUCAAACUCAUCAUUCCAAAUGUCUCCUACAUAACUUGUAGAAAAUUUUAAGAUUUAGUUCGAAUAUAUUAAAUUCGAUGUUCCAAGUUGUUUUAACAAAAUUGAAAAACUUCACCAUUAUUUUGAGAUUUUUUUUUAUGAUUACAUCCUUUAAUUUAUUGAAUAAUUAUAAACAAUCUUGGUUUCAAGAGAAUUAUAUUUACGCAACGAUCAUUUGCAGAUGUUCAAAAUAUUUCUACCCUCAAUUAUACUUACAGAAAAACAUUUGUUGCACUUAUCUCUUCCAAACCAUAAUAGUUUUUAGGAAAAGAAAAAAGAGACAUGUUUAUGAAAGAAAAUUAGGCUACGAUGCUCAUUGUCGUGGAUAUGGAGCGCGUGACAACGGGUAUGGGAGGUGGAGGAGUUAGGGGUGGCUAUGGUGGUGGUAGCAAAUUGAAGAGAUGGUUAUGGUAAAUAGAGAGGUGUUCAUGGAGGAGAAUAUGAUAAUGGCAAAGGAAAUGGAGAAGAAGGAGGUUGUGAGGGUGGAUAUGCACUCAAAAUUAAUUCCAUCUGAUCAAAAGAGAAUUGAGAAACUUUUUUUUUUUUUUUGUAAGUAAUGAACCCAAUAUUCAUAUUAAUUGCACAACAAAAAAUAAAGAAAUUGGGUAAGAGAGAACGUUGUUUUCUAAAUCUUAUGGGUGGAAGGUUUGCAUGUUCGUGAAUGUAAAUAUCAAAUCAAUUUUUUAAUGAUAAGCAAAUUUGGAGUAAGUGUGCAUUUAUACUGUGACAAAUUGAAUCAACCACAUAUACGUUAUUUUGUUUUUCCAAUGAUAUUUAUUAUAUAAGAGGAUUUUAUCUCAAAAUCAAUCAACAAAUACGUGAAUAGUAAUACGUCAAUUUUAUAAACAAUAAUGAUGAUCUCUUGAAUUUUUCAUGUGAAAUUAUCAACAUUCUCCAUGUAUUGUUCUCGGUUAUUAUUUUUGUAACCAAAGUGUAAUCCUCCAAAAAAAUACAAAAUUGACAACCAAGAAAAUAACUAAAUUUUCAUUUAAAAAGAAAAAAGAGAAUAGCAUAUCAAAUAUCAAAUAGCCAUGCAAAAUAAGCUUAACUAGGGGAGAGGGAGUCUAUAAGUCAAAUUGCAUAGUCUAAACCAAGGCUAACAAAUGAAUGAUGAUCCUACGAUAAAAUAUCUUAAGUAGAUUGAUACAUAUGAUAUGUAGCAUCUUCACCGCAUCUAAGAACAAGAGUCGAUGUGUUAUCACAAAAAUAAAAUACAAAAGGGAAGUUUGGGAGAAAAUUAGAGUUAUAAUAAUGUUGAGAGAGAUCCAAUUAAUUAAUACUCUUAAAAUUUUAAGAGAUAAAUUUUUAUAUUUGAGAAUUUAAAUGUGUAAUUGCGACUAAUUAACCAAUCGUGUUGAUUUUUGCAAUUUACCUUUUUUUAUUAAAUUUUCAAGAAAAAAAUAUUUAAUGACGAUCAAAAUGAUCCAUGACGUACAUACAAUUAUUGUCAAACAUUCCAUGUUACUAAAAGAAAAUUGAAACUUUCUCCAACGUUAUAAAUAUUUUAUCCACUUUACUAUUUUUUUUAUUAUUUCCCUAAUUUUGAUUCAAUCAAUUUUCUAGCUAUCAACUACCAUUCUUUAAAAAAAAAUCAAAUAUACAAAAAUAAAAAAUUGUCAAUUUUCGUCCAAAAAAAUUUUAAAAUAAAAUUUGGAAUUUGGAAUAUGGUACCUUUUGGAAUAAGUUUUAAAGCCUUUGAUUAAAAAAAAAAAGUUGCUUCAACCAAAAUCAUUGUAAAUAAUGUUGAAAUUAUAAAAUUAUUAAAAAUAUUUAUAAAUAUAGACAAACUAAAAUUUUAGAAUCUACCGUUGAUGUAACUAAUAAACGUAUAUCAGCGUCUACCGAAUAUAUUCUAAAAAACGGUAAUAUUUUAUAAAUAUUUUAGUAUGUUUACCCUUUCACAAACUUAAUUAAAAUUAUAAUCCAAAUCAAAACCUAUCCAAACAAAUAUUUGGUGUAACUUAAGGGAUGAAUCGCACUAAUAUGACUCAAACAUAUUUUGAGAAACGUGUUUAAAAUGUGAUAAAUUUUUCCACAAUAUUUUAUAGCAAAUGGCAAAUAAUUUAAAGUUUCUUUGAAGCAAGAAUUAGGCAAAGAAGCAUGUAUAUAUAUACAUAUAAUGUAAUUAAAAUUUAUAUUAUAGUGAUGCAAAAUCGUUUCAUAAGCCACUUCAUCUCUCUCUGUUUCAUGGCAUCUUAAGUACACAAAAAGAGAAAAAGGGAAAAAGAGACCUAAUAUAAUAUGUGUUCUUUAAUUGGUGGAUUUUUAUUUAGCAUUAUUAAUUCAUCAAUCACCAAGAAUAUUUAUUCUCAACAAAGUUAUUGAAUGAUAUUAAAUUUACAAGAACUAAAUGAUAUAUCAUUUCGUUUCAUAUUAAAUUUUUGUAAGUUUAGAUAAUUUAUGAAAGUAGGUUUGUUAUGUUUAGGUUAACUAAACACAUACAUGUUAAAUUGAAUAUGUGUUUUAUCUUGGUCAAUUGUGCAAAGUGGAUCCGUGGCGCAAUGGUAGCGCGUCUGACUCCAGAUCAGAAGGUUGCGUGUUCGAUUCACGUCGGGUUCAAUGUCCAUUUUUUAUUUUAGUCAUUUGUGAUCACAAAUAAAUUUAAACCUCAUAAUCAUUGCAUUUUAGGUUAUUGUGUAAAGUUAUAAAACAUUACAAAGUGGAACAAGUAUUGAUAUGAUUUCGUUCCAAUUAUAAUUUAUUUUUAUAGUUUAAUGAGACAUACGAAAAAGCCAACACUUUAGUAUUUUGCCUCUUGAACUUUACUUAAGUUAUAUAUAAAAAAUUAAUAAUGUUGUUGACCACAUGCCUCCUCUUUAAUUGCCACUAAGGUACUACACUAUAGAGAAGAGCUAAUGAGUCCUUGUUUUCUAUAUAAGGAGAUGGAUGAAUGCAUUCUAAGCAUACAUUCCUAUCCAUGGCUAUCUCUAGAGUGUUGUGCAUUGGCUUUCUUCUUUUUGUAGGUUUAGGGUUAGCUUCGGCUACCCGAACUCUUCUUGAUUAUGAUCCACGUGCACGUCGUUAUGAUUACGAUCAUCCUACUCCAAGAGUAGGGUACGAUCCAAGUCAUCGUGAUCAAUCAUAUGAUAAUGCAUACAGUGGAAGUUCUAGUAAAGGAUAUGGAAUUGGAGACUCUACUCUUGGAGGUUCUGGACGAUAUGGAGGUGGCAAAGGACAUGAUUCCGGAUAUGGAGGUCGAAAUGAUGAUCGCAGUACUGGAUAUGGAGGUCGAAAUGAUGACCGCAGUGAUGGAUAUGGAGGUCGAAAUGAUGACCGCGGUGCUGGAUACGGAGGUCGAAAUGAUGAUCGCGGUGUUGGAUAUGGAGGUCGAAAUGAUGAUCGCGGUGUUGGAUAUGGAGGUCGAAAUGAUGAUCGUGGAGUUGGAUAUGGUAAUGGUGGUAGAUAUGGAAGUGUAGGAGGACAUGGUGAUGGUUAUGGUAACAAUGGUGGUGGAAGCUAUGGAGAUCGUUAUGGCCCUUCUCUUGGAGGUUCAGGAAAAGGAAGUAACAAUGGCUAUAACGAUCAUUCUCGUGGAAAUGGAGGACGUGACAGUGGCUAUGGAGAUUCACAUGGACAUGAAGGACGUGAGAGUGGAAAUGGAAGCGGUGGAGGAGUUAGUGGUGGCUAUGGUAAUGGAGGAGUACAUGGAGGAGAGUAUGAUAAUAGCAAAGGAAGUGGAGAAGAAGGGGGUAAUGAUGGUGGAUAUGCUGUCAAAAAUUCUAUCUCAAAGGAGAAUUGAGAAUUCCUCUUUUUCAAGUAAUGAACCCAAUAUCAUAUUAUGUUAACGAGAAAUAAAGAAAUUGGGUGAGAGAAUGUUGUGUUUUAAAUUUAUGUUGAAUUUUCUUUGAAUAAUUCGAAUCAAUAGGUACAAUGAUAAUCAAAUUUGGAUUAUGUUUGUUGUGACAAAUUGACUGUACCCUAUUUUGUUAUAUUUCUCUAUAGAUUUUUUUAUAUAUAUCCAUAUUAAUACGGGUGAUUUUGAACUGAAUCAAAUGACAUAAACAAAGAGAAAAAAAUAUUGUCUAAAAGUUUAUUUGUUAACACCUUAUAAUUCUUAGUAACUUUUUCAAUGAAUGUGUGAUAUUAUAAAAAUAAGUUGUUUCAUGGGAUUCCAAGGAUGGACAAAAGAUGCAUAAAAUACUCUAACUAAUAAAAUGUACACCAUUCCAAACGUGCUAUAUUUUAUGAUUUUCAAAGUUAAACUUUGAAACAAUCUUUUAACACCUUCUAAACACAAAUUAUUUAUCAUACAUGGUGGGCUAAUCAAGUCCAAACUAAUUAAUAGGUCAAACCCAUCAUUCCAAUUGUCUGCUACACGUAACUUAUAAAAAUUUUCAAGAUUUAGUUUGAAUAUUUUAAAUUCAAUGUUUCAAGUUUUUUUAACAAAAUUGAAAAAACUUCACCAUUUUCUUGAGAUUUUCUUAUUAUGAUUACAUCCUUUAAUUUGUUGAAUAAUUAUGUACGAUCUUGUUGCAAGAGAAUAAUAUAUAUAUAUUAUUAUAUUAUAUAUAUACAUACAUUCAUUCAUUUAGGUUUAUGUGGUUCAAAAUCUUUCUACCCUCAAUUAUACUUAAAAAGCAUUGGUUGCACUCUUCUCUUCCAAACCAUGAUAGUUUUUAGGAAAAAAAAGAAACAUGUUGAUGAAAGAGAAUUAGACUACGAUGAUCAUUCUCGUGGAUAUGAAGCGCGUGACAACGGAUAUGGGAGUGGUGGAGGAGUUGGUGGUGGCAGCGAAAAAGGUGGUUAUGGUAAUAGAGAGGUGUUCAUAAAGGAGAAUAUGAUAAUCGGAAAGGAAAUGGGGAAGAAGGAGGUUCUAAUGGUAGAUAUGCACUCAAAAUUAAUUUCAUCUAAUCAAAAGAGAAUUGGAAACUUUUUUUUAAGCAAUGAACCCAAUAUUCAUAUUAAUUGGGCAACAAAAAUAAAGAAAUUGGGUAAGAGACAACGUUGUUUUAUAAAUCUUAUAUGUCAUUAGUUUACUUUUUGGUGAAAGUAAAUAAUUUGGAUUAAGUAUGCAUUUGUAUUAGAACAAAUUGAAUCCAACCAUAUACACAUUAUUUUACUUUUUUAAUAAUAUUUUUUAUUAAAUUAGAUGGUUUUAUUUUAAAAUUAAUUGAUAAUUACGUGAAUAGUAAUAUGUAUAUCUUAUAAACAAUAAUGUUGAUCUCUUCAAUUUUUUAUAUGCAGAAUUAUCAACAUUCUCCACCUAAUGUUCUAGGUUAUUUUUGUAAUCAAAGUGUAACUCUCAGACAAAAACAAAAACGAAAAAACCAAGAAAAUAACUAAAUUUUCAUUUAAAAAGAGAAAAAAGAAUAGCAUAUCAAACAUCCAUCCAAAAUAAGCAUAAUUAAGGGAGAGGGGGCCUAUACGUCAAUUGCUUAGUCUAAACCAAGACUAACAAAUGCCUUGUCCUAUGAUAAAAUAUUUAUAUUUCAAAGAUACAUAUAUUUUCACUACAUCCAAGAUCAAGAGCCAUUGUAUUAUAACAAAAGAUUGUACAAAAGGGGAGUUGGGGAGAAACUUAGAGUCAUAAUGUUCAAAGAGAUCUAAUUAAUACUUGUAAAAUUUUAAGAGCUAAAAUUUUGUAACAGAGAUUGAGAGUGUAAUCGCAACAAAUAAUCAUACUUCAAUGGUUGAUUAAUUUAUCAAGAAAAGUUUUAAAAAAACAUUUAAUGACAGUCAACAUCAACCCUUUCACGUCAUUAAAAGAAAAUUGGAACUUUGCCCACAUUUCUUUAUUAUUUUGCUAUUAAAAAUUAAUUUUGAUUCAAUCAAUUUUUUAGUUAUCAACUACUAUUCUUAAAAAAAUAUAUAUAUAUACAAAAAUUACGAAAAAGAAAUAUUACUUCUCAAACAAGAAUCAUCUUAAAUAAUCAUCCUAUCCAUUUUAAAAAAUAUAUAUAUUUUCAAUAAAUUAAAUAAUAAAAUUAUUGAAAAUAUUUAUAAAUAUAACUAAAAUAAAACUCUAAAAUCGAUGGAGGAUGUAACUUAUGAAAGUCUAUUAGCAUCUAUCAUUAACAUAUUCUAAAAUAUUUUUGUAAAUAUAUUUUGUUUCAUUUUGCUAUACUUAAAAAUAACCUUCCACAAAUUUAAAACUCAAAUUAAUCAAAACCAAUCCCAACAAAUAUUUUGUAUAAUUUAUGCGAUGUGCAUAAAUACGCAUUUUCCCACCAUAUUUGAUAGCAAAUGGCAAAUUAUUUAAUGUUUGUUUGAAGCAAGAAUUAGGCAAAGAAGCAUAUAUCUAUAUAAUAUGUAACUAGAUCUUAUAUUAUAGUGAUGCAAAAUCGUUUCAUAAGGCACUUCAUAUCUCUCUGUCUCAUGGCAUCUUAAGUACACAAAAUGAGAAAAAGGGAAAAAGGGCCCUAAUAUAAUAUGUGUCCUUUAAUUGGUGGAAUUUUAUUUAGCAUUAUUAAUUAAUCAACCGUGUAAAAUAUGGUAGGAAGAAUUAUUCUAAUGAUGAAUGAAAAUUUUAGGUUGGGAGGUCCCAUAUAUGAAGCAUAUGAGAAAUUUUCAAUCUUAAAAGAGUGAAUUAUCAAAUUAAAUUUACAUGAACGAAAUGAUAUAUCAUUUGGUUUGUAUUAAGUUUGUUUAAGUUUAGAUGAUUUACGAAAAUAGGUUUGUUAUGUUUAGGUUGACAAAACGACACUGUAUUUAGAUGAUGGUGUAAAUUUUAACAUGUUAAACAUGUGUUUUAUCUUGGUUUAUUGUGAUCUAAUACAAAUAAAUAUCGUUAUUGAAUUUUAGGUUAUCGUGUAAAGUUGUAAAAUAUUACAAAGUGGUGCAAGUGGGAAAAUGGGAUCAAAAGGAGAGUAUUGAUAUGAUUUCGUUCCAAUUAUAACUUAUUUUUUUAGUUUAAUGAGACAUAGGAAAAAGCCUACACUUUAGUGUUUUGCCUCUUGAACUUCCUUUGAGCUAUAUAUCCAAAAUUAAUAAUGAUUUUUUAGCACGUGUCUCCUCUUUAAUGGCCUCUAAGGUACCACACUAUAGAGAAGAGCUAAUGAAUCCUUGUUUUCUAUAUAAGGAGAUGGAUCCAUGCAUUCUAAGCAUACAUUCCUAUCCAUGGCUAUUCCUAAAGUGUUGUGCAUUGGCUUUCUUCUUUUUGUGGGUUUAGGGUUAGCUUCGGCUGCCCGAACUCUUCUUGAUUAUGAUCCACGUACACGUCGCUAUGAUUACGAUCAUCCUACUCCAAGAGUAGGGUACGACCCAAGUCAUCGUGAUCAAUCCUAUGAUAGUGCAUACAGUGGAAGUUCUAGUAAAGGAUAUGGAGUUGGAGACUCUGCUCUUGGAGGUUCUGGACGAUAUGAAGGUGGUGGAGGACGUGAUUCCGGAUAUGGAGGUCGAAAUGAUGAUCAUGGUGUGGGAUAUGAAGGUCGAAAUGAUGGUCGUGGUGCUGGAUACGGAAGUCGAAAUGAUGAUCGCAGUGCUGGAUAUGGAGGUCGAAAUGAUGAUCGUGGUGCUGGAUAUGGAGGUCGAAAUGAUGAUCGUGGUGCUGGAUAUGGAGGUCGAAAUGAUGAUCACGGUGCUGGAUAUGGAAGUCGAAAUGAUGAUCAUGGUGCUGGAUAUGGAGGUCGAAAUGAUGAUCGUGGGGUUGGAUAUGGUAAUGGUGGUGGAUAUGGAAGUGUAGGAGGACAUGGUGAUGGUUAUGGUAACAAUGGUGGUGGAAGCUAUGGAGAUCGUUAUGGCCCUUCUCUUGGAGGUUCGGGAUAUGGAAGUGGAGGAAAAGGAAGUGGCAAUGGCUAUGAUGAUCAUUCUCGUGGAAAUGGAGCACGUGACAAUAACUAUGGAGAUUCUCACGGACAUGAAGGACGUGACAGUGGAUAUGGAAGUGGUGGAGGAGUUAGCGGAGGCUAUGGCAAUGGAGGAGUUCAUGGAGGGGAGCAUGAUAAUAGCAAAGGAAGUGGAGAAGAAGGGGGUAGUGAUGGUGGAUAUGCUUUCAAAAAUUCCAUCUCAAACAAGAAUUGAGAACUCUCUUUUAAGCAAUGAACCCAAUAUCAUAUUAUGUUAAAGAAAAAUAAGGAAAUUGGGUAAGAAUGAAUAAUGUUGUGUUCUAAAUGUAUGUUGAAUUUACUUCAAAUGAAUGCUAAAUUUGAAUCAAUGAAUUAUGUUUGGAUUAUGUUUGUUGUUACAAAUUGAUUCCACCUUUCUUUUUGUUUUGUUUCUCUAUACAUUUUUCUAUAUAUCCAUAUUAAUAUGGAUUGAUUUUGGACCGAAUCGAAUGACAUAAUAAUCUAUGCCAAAUAAGAGUAAAACCACAUAGCCAAGAAAAUGAUAAGAGUAAAAGGAAAAAUAGUAUGUACAAUGUAAGACAAAUAAUUGUGUCUAGGAGAAGAGGGUGUUACUCAAGCCAAUGCAUUUAACCUCGACAAGACUCAACCUCAAGUUGAGCCUAACAAAAUGUCUAGUUGGGCAUACCCUUGUCAAAAUGCAUCACUUUAAUUAAGACUAAAAUAAACAUAUAGAGAAGGGAGUUUGAGCUUGAUAGGUCGAGACCAAUCCUAGCAGAAUAUUAAACAGAACUUGCCCUUCACAUGCCUCAACCUAAGUGAGUUGAAAAGGUUAUCGUAUCGUACCUCCAAAACUCUAUUCGGACAUAACCUAACUAAUUAACUAGGUUUAUUUAAUUCUACAAAUAAAUCAUUAGAGCUCUACAGAAACAAACUCUAUUCUCACUCAAUUUCUUUGACAUUUUUCAACUCUCUCUAAAAGCCAAAUAGGCACAACCCUAAAUCCUUACAUCUUCAAACCCUGUGUUUUAAUUACUAUGGAUAAAAGAGAACACAAAUCAAAUUUUACUUUCUUAUAUUUAGAUCAUAUUUCUUUUGAAAUUCAAAGUAAUGGAUAACACAAUAUGCUUCCAUUUCUAAUUUAAAUGAAAAUUUCAACAUUCCUAAUUACUGAUUUAUUUACACAAAAUAGCCCAAAGUAAAUAACUAUAAGUGAGUUUUCUUUACUAUUAUUUUGGUGAGUGAAGAUACUAUGAGUUUUUAUAUCACUAAAAUGUGAUAAUUUUUCCAACCAUUAUUGUAUUAGCAAAUGGGAAAUAAAUUAUUUAAUAAUGUAUCUAUAAAGUGGGAAGAAUUAGGGAAACAAAAUGCAUAAUUAAAUAUGUAAAAAAACUAUAGUAAUGCUAUGUCGUUUCAGAAACCAUUUGAAGAGUUAAGGAAAAAAGAGGGGAAAAAAAGCUCUAAUAUAAUAUAUGCUCUUUAGUCCUUUUUCUUAAAAAAAAAUUAAUGCUCUUUAAUUAGUUUGAAAUAGCCAUAUAAAUUAAAUAUCUUCCUAAAAGGAAAGAUGGGUUCUCAAGAAAAAAUAUAUUUCAAUGCUUCUUUUUCUUUUUCUUUUUCUUAAUCCUUGUUGAUGAAGAGAAUUCAGGCUUAAAAAUGGAGAAUUUCAUAUUUUCUAAUAUUUUACACUUUUUUCAACCUCAUAAACAAAUUUUGAUUAAAUGGUUGUAGUAAAGAUACUUUUCUUUUUUUUUCACCAAAAACAGCUUUAUUUUAUUUUAAUCUUCUGUCAUAUUUGUAUCGAGAAAAUUAAAUAAAUACUAUUUUUUUUCAAUAUAUUUAAUUUCGUUUUAAAAUAAAGGGAAAAUCCCUAGAAAUCAUCACUUUUCUCUUCUUCUUUGAAGACCCUCUUCUUUUAUGGUAUAACUUUCAUUAGUUGUUCUUAAUAUGCUUCUUUUAACUUUAACUGUCAAAUAUAUAUAUACACAUACAACGAUAAUUUAUCCUUAAUAUCAGAUAUAAAGUUUUUUUUAUGCAUGGCUCUAAUCCAAAAGACUUCAAAAAAAAAAUUACCAAAAUGUAAAUCGAUGAUGAGAAAUUAAAAAAUUGAUAUGGCUAAUGUUUAAUAAGCUAGAUUGAUUGAUAAGUUACUCAUCCCACAAUUACUUGAUUUUGAGAUGAAACGUCAAGUUAUCUAAUAUUAUAUCGUAACUCGCGAAAACAUAAACGAACAUUCAGAUCAAAAAAAUAAAUAUUGGAGUCCAAUUCAAGAAUGAUGAACCCAAAGAGAGACAUCAUUUAUCAAUGGUGUGUAUACUAGCCAAGGAUCUUAUCAUGCUAGAAUAAUUGAGGGACCUUUUAUGUUUAUAUAUAAGAUGUAUAUGUUUCUUCUCUUAUAUUUUAUAUUGGUUUUAAGAUGUAAAGCUCAUGUUAUCUAAUAUAUGAUGUCGGUUGUUCGAAAAUUCGAUGUAAAAAUAGUAAAUAAUCGAAAGAAGCACGGAUCCCAAAAGGACAUAUCAAGGAAACCUCACACCAUGCAUCUUUAUAAGUCCCUCACACCAUGCAUUCAAAAACUAUAAUUGAGGGACCUCACACCAUGUCAUGCAUCUUUAUAACGUCAAUCAUACAUAUCUAUUAUUAAUUUCCUCUCAUAUGGCUCAUGAUAUACUACGUGUAACAAUUUUUCAUUGCCAAGAAAUUUCCAAAUUGUAAUAGUGGUAAGUUAUGAAAUGAUUUUCUUACAAAUAUCUUCAUAGAUAAAUUAAUAAUAAAACAUCAUGUGUGAACGGCAGAAUCCAAUUGACUGAAAAAUCAUUUUGGAGUAAUAUUAUCGGUUGUGAGCACAAUCCUUUGAUCUAUUUGGUGGGAAAGAAACAGUAGAACCUUUACUUGAGAAGCUAUAAUUCUUACAUUUUUAUUAAUUAUCAUAUUACUUCGUCUUUAUUUUAAAAAUAUUCAUACAAGACAUGAGAGAUUAGCAUAGGCAUUCAAAUAUCAAUACCUUUGAACAAAAAAGCUUUUCCUUGGCCCUAAAAAAGUUGUACAACAAUUAACAAAACACUCCAAUAUUAAGGUUAAUAGGAAGAAUGCCUAAACUUAACUAUAAAAAUUGUUUGGAACUACAAAACUAAGCAAACUAAGGUGGCUAAACUCAACAUGAAAAUAAAGAAGAGUAAUUUAAACUUAGAUAUUUAUUCAUGUCACCUAAACUUUUAAAGUCGUUUUUGAUUGCAUGCUCCUCUAAACUUUAUCAAAUCUUGCGAGAUCAUGUAAGGGGAAAGAUGGAAUCAACUUAGCCUUACUUUAAUUUAAUAUGUUUUAGUACCACAUGUCAACAUAAAAUAAAGAAAUUAGGUUAGAGAGAAGGUUGUGAUCUAAAUCUAAGUACAUUAAUUAAUGUCAAAUUUCAAUCCAUGUUUGAAUGAUAAACAAAUUUGGAGUAAAGAAUAUUACUCAACCAUACAUAAGUAAGACUUCAACUCUAAUUGAAAGGGGCUGACAAGUAUAGUUACUCCUAAACUGUCUACAAAUAUUAAAUAUUAUAUGAAGACAAUAAAGUUAAGGGGAGUUCGAGUCCCCUAGACCUAUACUAAAUCCGUCGGUCAUGGUGAUGGUGCACAACACUCAAUUGUUCAACACAACUAUGAUGAAUUUUUUUGUUUGUUGGGAGAGAAAACACUAAUAUGUUUUAUUUCAUUAAAAUGUGAUAUUUUUGUCCCAUGAUUAUUGUAUAGAGAAAUGGGAAAUUAUAUAUAUAGUGUAAGCUUCAAGUGGGAAUUAGGAAACACAUGCAUAAAUAUAAAGUUACGAUAAUUAUAGUAAUGCAAUGUCGUUUCAGAAGCCCAUUAUUCAUCCUCUCAAUUAUCUCAUGCAUGGUGGCUCUCAUCAAGUUGAGAAAAAGGAAAAAAAAUAGGCCUAAUAAAAUAUAUGUUCUUUGUUUCUUGGUAACCAUUGUAAAUUAAUCGUAAUAUAAAUAUCUUCUAAAAGAGAAAAAAAGAAGACUCUCAAGACAAAUUAUCAUGCUUCGUCAAUCCUCUUUUUUUUUUUUUUUUUUUUCCUCAAUCUUUAAUGAUAGAAGAAAAUUUUAGCUCAAUAAAAUUGAAAUUUUUGUAUUUUAAAAAAUUUAUGAUGUUUUUUAACACGUGUAUAUAUAUAUAAUGAACAAUAUAACAAAAUAUCACAUUAAGUUUUACUAUAUAUUUAUAAAUAUUUUUUUAAUUAAUUUUUUCACUUAAUUUAAAAAUAUUUUUUCUAUAUAAAUAUUAUUAAUAAAGAACAAUUACAUUAGCUUCUCUUUUUACGUAUAACUCUUACUUUGGAUUGAACUUUUAACUCUUGAAAAGAGCAUUAGUGAGCCAAUUAAUUCACUUUGACUACAUAACUUUCUUUAGUUGCUUAAUAUAUUUGUUUUGGUGUUAAACUAUCAUUAUAACAGAACAAUUAGGAUAGUUUUCAUUUUCGUGUAUAACGUUUUUCUAUGGUCGAUAUCUAAGGAAAUAAUCAAAAAAACAAAUGUACUUACAAUAAAUUUCAUUGUGUCAUAAAAUGAAAUUUCCAAAUUAUGUAAGUGUUAAGUUGUAAAAGUUGAUAAUCAAAUUUCAAUGUGAAAUUAUAUAUUUUGGAAAUAUCUGCACCAUAGACAAAAAUUAAUAAACAAACUUCUCAAAAUUAAGUGUGUUAAUUAUAAGAGAAUGCCUAAACUUAACUAUAAAAAAAUAAGUUGGAGCCAAAACUAAUUAGCUAAAAUAUUAAGGUGAAUUUAUCACAAAAAGUACAAACAAGUGAAGUAAGGUGGUGUUGCAUAAAGCCUACUGAUUUUCAACUUUGGCUUUCUAAAUUUGAGCUCCUCACGUUUUCACACAAAAGCUUCUCACAACCUUUGAAUAAGAUCCUCUCAAAAGAACAUCAACUACUGAUGUAUUAAACUAAUAAAGAGCCAGCCUAGUUUACUUGACUACUAGUAACAUCCUCAACAGUGACGUACAUUUAAUUUCACAAACAGUGCGUAAGGAUUAAGGUUAAACAAUCUCUCAAAACAUGCACACACAGUAUUUUUAACAGAGCUAAUUAACCCUAAAAAUAAACAAAACUCAUAAUAUAUAUGGAAGCUGAUCUUGAGCAGAUAGGAAAAAAGAUUAUCAAAAAGAAUAGAAAAACAAAUUAAAUCAGCAGGUUUAAUUUUCCCUACACGGUUCAAUAGAUUAAGAAAAAAAUCUUGAUACAAAAUUCGAAGGAGAAAUAUAGAUUUUGACAGAAAAUGUUACAAAACAAGUUGCUCAAGUUUUGCUUGUAACAAAAUCCGCCAAUCGUAGUACAGUAACACAUAAGCAACUAAAAUGACUGAUCUCAACAAGAAUGGAAACACUAGAUAUGUUACAAGAGAACAUGCAUAAAUACAGUUUGGUCUAAUUAAAAAAACAGUGUCUUAGAUAACACAAGAAGGUAGAAAAAUAGAUGAGAGAGUAAUCAAACUUAGCUGACAAAUAUGGAUAUUAAUGAAUUUCACCUGAACUUUAUAUAGUUUUUCUUUACUCUUCUCUAAAUCUUACCAAAUAUUGCAAGAUCGUGUAAGUGGACAAUGGAAUAAUCGUAAUAAUCAAUUGAAGCCUUACAUAAAAUAUCGAUGUGUUUUAGUACCAAAAUCGAACUUUAGUUAGUACCUAAUAUGACAAAAGGCCUCACUACGUAGUAUUUUGCCUCAUGGACAUCCAUGGAGAAGUUGAUGAACCCACCACUUUUUUUAAACAUAUGACACCCUCUUUACCGUGAAGGACACCAUAGAGAAGUUGAAGAGACCCUCCACCCAUUUCCUAUAUAAAGAGAUCAAUGCAUGCAUUUUCUUGGCAUUCUACUCAUUCUCUAAUUCUCUCCAUGGCUAUCCUUAGAGCACUGUGCCUUGCCUUUCUUCUCUUUGUACGGUUAGGUUUAGCUUCGGCUACUAGAACUCUUCUUGAUUAUGAUCCACGUACACUUCAAUAUGGCUAUGAUCGUCCUAGUCCAAGAGUAGGGUAUGAUCCUGGCCAUGGGGAUGAAUCCUAUGAUAAGGCAUACGGUGGAAGCUCUAGUAGAGGACAUGGAAUUGGAGACUCUGCUCUUGGAGGUUCUGGAUACGAAGGUGGUGGAAGACACGAUUAUGGAUAUGGAGAUCGACAUAAUGAUCGUGGGGUUGGAUAUGGUAAUUAUGGUGGUGGAUAUGGAGGUGUAGGAGGACAUGGUGAUGGUUAUGGUAACAAUGGUGGUGGAAGCUAUGGAGAUCGUUAUGGACCUUCUCUUGGAGGUUCAGGAUAUGGAAGUGGAGGAAAAGGAAGUGGCAAUGGCUAUGACGAUCAUUCUCGUGGAAAUGGUGCACGUGACAAUAGCUAUGGAGAUUCUCAUGGACAUGGAGGACGUGACAGUGGAUAUGGGAGUGGUGGAGGAGUUACUGGUGGCUAUGGUAAUGGAGGAGUGCAUGGAGGAGAGUAUGAUAAUAGCAAAGGAAGUGGAGAAGAAGGAGGUUAUGAUGGUGGAUAUGCUGUUAAGAACUCCAUCUCAAAGGGAAAUUGAGAAACCCUUGGCUUCUUUUUCUUAUUAUACUAUGCCAGCUAAAAUAAAAAUAUGGGGUAAGGGAUCAAGAAUAUUGUUAUCUAAAUCUAUGUUUGAGUUGCUCUUGUAAUGAAUGUAAUUAAUGAUAUAAACAAAAUUUGGAUUACAUUUUGUAUGAACCAAGUGAUUGGACCAUAUACACUUCUAUUCUUAUUAACUUUGAUUUGAGUAACACAAGCAAUAAUUAAACUUUUUUAUUUAUGACUAAUUUUAAAACUUGGGUUAAUAAUGAUGCAAUAUACAUGAAGAUGUGGGAAGAGAAAGGUAUACAGAGUGUGGUGCUCACCCCACACUCAAACUUUGAUGAAUUCCUUUUUUAUUUUCUUUUUACAUAGUUUUAAAAUAACUUGACAUUUACUUCACAAGACUAAUAUCCUUUUCUAAUACUCAUUUAAAUAGUUUUUGUCAUGACGAGAUGGAUCCCAGAGUUGAUUAGUUUUAAAAUUUUACCUUUUCUAAUAUGACAAUGCUAUAAUCUUAAAUCGGUUUAGAAAAUCUAUUUUAGUAAUUGGAAACUCCUUUAGAUUUUUUUAAAUUCAUAUAAUCGUGAAAAUAUAAAUUAUGCAGAAGAGGUUUAGAAAACAAAAUUCAUGCAAUAGCCAAAUUUGCACUUCCUUUGCUAUUAUCAUACUCUCCUAUUUUUUUGUGAUUUUUCAUUUUUAACUAUAAUUUUACAUAUAUGUGCAUAUCAUAUAUAUAUAUUGGACAUGGUGCAUAAGCACUUUGAGAUUUAUAUAUCUCUCUAUAAAACGUGAUCAUUUUCCCUCCAUUAUUAAUUAUAGUAUUAUGAUAUCAAAUGGAAUAGAUUAUGUCUCAAGGUGGGAAUUAAUUAUAUAUUUAGCAUUGUAAAUGCAAAGUAGUUUGAGAAAACCCAUUUCUUCAUCUCAAUGAUCUAAAUGACAUAAACAAAGAGAAAAAUAGUAAUAAUUAAACCUAAUAAAUGUAUAAUAUAUAUAUGUGCGUGUGUUCUUUAAUAUUUUUACCUUGGUAGGUUUUUAAUUAUAUGCAUUAUUAAUUUUAAUAAUAAAUAUAUUUAAUUAUUACACCUACACUUAAAAGUUUUUUAUUUGCCCCAAAUCUUGGUAGAUCUUUCAAGCAAGUGGAAGGAUUUAGAUCAAAAGGCUAACUUAAAUAAUUGAUAUGAAAUUAGUUCAAAUCUACUUUUGGCCCUAAUCUUCUCACACCAAAAUUAUAUUGUGUUCCCCUACACAAUAGGGCUGCCUCUUCAACCUCUCUAUGAAGAUGAAAUGUCCUUUUUUAAGGAGAUAUUCAUGGAUGAUGCAUUAUUCUAAGCAAAUCUCUCCAGGAUUAAUAUUCCUAUUGGAUUUCCUUUUUCUUGUGGGUCGAAGAUUGAAGUUUUCUCGACUAUAGUUCUUAUACACAUCACUACAAUUCAUUACAAGCAUCAUAUCCUAAUCCAAAUGUAAAAUAUAGGAUCGUAUUUAUUGUGGUUGAACAUUUCAAAGUGUAAGAAUAUGAACAUCAACCACAACCUCUUAGAUUGAUUGUGUUUAUAUAAUGCAAAGACUAAAAGAGAUAUCAUUCCAUAAACCUUUAUAUAUAUAUAUAUAUAUAGAGAGAGAGAGAGAGAUAUAUAUAUAUAAAGAUAAAUUAAAUAACAUAUAUAUUUAGAAUACUCUAAGACGUAAUAUAAUGUUGGUAGUCGCAAUGCAAAAUCAAAGUUUUUUAAAUUGAUUUGCAUGUAAUGAUCUCACAACGAUCUGUUUCAUCUCACUUUCAAACCCAUCAGUUCAUUAGUAUUGGGCCUUGAUUAGCUCUCUAACAAAGCCCAAUAGUGUACAUAUUCAUCUCGAUUUUUCUAUGUUUUCUACCUCACUUUAGUUGUGUUAUAGGUCUCACAAUUUAGUAUUAUUCUAGAAAGUAAACUCAAGACGACGUCAAUCUGAUUUACAUGCUGUUAGGACGAGAGAAUUUUAUGUACAAACUCCAUAAUAUUUGAUUUAAUUCACUUGUCGACUUUUUAUAAAUUUGUGACUAGAAGUAUAUAUCUCGACUAUCUUUUGAUCAAUUUCUACACAGUUCUGUAAAUUUGUAUAAGAUGGAGGUUAUUUCAGCUUAUAGCCCUUGCGAUUAUGUAUUGCUUAUCUAAUUUGAGUUUGAAUAUGAGAAGUGUAUUGUAAUUGUAUAUAUCCAGUUAAAGUGUAUAAUCAGAUUGCUAAUGUAUAUAUGUUAGUAUAUGAAGAGAAGAAGAAGAAGAAGAAAUGUAAAGGUUGUUGAAGCUAAGUGUGGAACAAAAGGAGAGAUCCACUAGAGGGAAGCAAUAUGAGAUAAUGGAUCGACCCCACACGUUGUUAUGAUUCAAAACACUAAAGACAAAGAGAUUUGGGGAUUUGCAUGUGGGAAAUUCAUAAAUAUGUCCAUUAUACUUUCUCUUUUGCUGCUGCUUUUCUACUUCAUAGUUCACACAAACCCUUCUUUCUCCAAACUUACCCAAUUAUAUGUCACCUAACUUAGGUUAAAACAUAUAACACUACGAACCUCCGAGUCUACCUCCAAACGUUACUGUUAUAUUAUCAAAAUCUUGUGCUAAUUUAGUCUCUAUUGACAUUUUAUUUGUAUCAUACCUUUGAUAUUUUACUGAUCAUGGGAGAGAUAUUUGCUCCACACGCUCCUAUAUAGCAUUUCUUCGUAGUCUCUUUUAACCGUUAGAGCUAUCAAAUAGUGGCUCUUUCUUUAGCAACGGUUGUUAAAAAUGUAUUUUUCAAUGGCACUCUAUCUAAAGAGGGGUGUAUAUGAAAUCACCAUUGUGGCAGCUUUUCUUUCCCCUUAUAAAAUGUGUCUUCUUUAACACACGUCUUGUAUGGUCCUAAAACAAGUUUCACGCAGGUCUAGUUUCACCUAACUUGAGUUUACUUCUAAUUCUCACGAUACAACACUUUCUAUGAGUUAAACUCUUCAAGAAAUAUCGUUCCUCCUAUAUGCUGAUCAUAUGAUUAGUAUAGAUGAUGAUCCUUAAGCUAUAUCGAAUAUGCAAUGUUGCCUUAAAUGAUUCUCUAAUUAGGACCACUCCACUAUUUCCUUGGCCUUUGAAAGUUUCAUCCCCCUCUAAUGGGGUAUUCAUCUCAAGCAAAAUAUACUAAUUCUCAUCCCUAAGUAAAUUAUAAAUAUACUUUUGAUCUCCUAGCUCAUUCUAGUAUAUUACUGAGACCUUUGUUGAUCACGUCAUCAAAGACUACUAGAACUCUUUUUAACUCCUUUUGAUAGUGCUCUUCUCGAAAAUGCAACUCUAUAUUGACAACAUACUAGUAGUCUUAUUUAUCUCGUUGUGGGUUGAUCAAAUAUUGCAUAUAUUGCUCAGAUUAUUAUUUGGUUGCUUCAAUGCUAAUUUUGUUGGUGAGGAUCGGUGUUCUCAUUUGGUGUAGAUAUAAAAAAACAAACUACAGUAUCUCGCACUUGGUAAUAUUAUUUCUCAGUUUUCAUAUUGGUUUCUUGGAGUGUUCCUCAGUAGUCUACUAGUUAUAUUUGUGUGACCAUCGUAGUGCUUUUUUAGAUUGCAAAUUGUGUGGUUUCUUCUAGAAACAUACCAAGCACAAUAAAAUUGAUUGUCACUUUGUCCAUCAUCAUCUCCCAAGCAAGAUCGUUCUAUCCCCACUAAAUCAGUAACCCAUUGAAAUCCUCACAAAAGUGUUAUCCCCCAAACACUUCUCUAUCCUACUUCACAAACUCAAGUUGGUGUCUGCCUUUUUCCACUCAUAACAAAAAAGCACCUCACAUCUAAAACUUCAACCAUUUUCAAGUUACAAAAUUUACUCUUCUACUGUGACAGCCCUUUUAAGAAGAAUGGGUUUUCAAUAAUAGAAAACAAAGAUAACAAUAAAAUAAAGUAAAAGAUUUAUAAGAGAGUGUGUAAUUUGAAAUCAAGUUCAAAUUCAAUUAAUACAUAACUCUAAAUAUUAUCAAACUAGCUGCCUACUCUCAUGAUAAACUUUUUGUUAGUUUUUCACAAUGUGAAAAAACUUGGAAUAGUUUAAUUAUUCUCAACAUUAUUUAUAAAGUCGGUGACCUAAUUUCUUACUAUAAUCAUAUCAACUAGAGAUAGAUAUAGAAUGAAUGUUAGUUCAUUAAUUUAAUGAUGAGUAGUAGCUAGGUAAAUGAACUACUAUGUAUUCAACUAUUUGUUGAAUGUCCCAUCAAUCCAUAUCUAACUAAGAAAAUAACAUAAAAACAUUAAGUUAAACAAGUGAUGAAAAAAUUUGUUAUAUAUAUUUAUUUUAUUUCUUCGGACGAUAAUUUUUUUUUUAUUUGUAUGGGUGUUCUAAACAUUUUCAAACUUAAAAGUGACAAAAAUCGGUUAAAAGAUUGGUAUGUAACUAUAUUAGUCAUAACUUAUAAACUUUAGCUUUUGGGUUGAAAACAGUUAUUUAUGUGGUAUCAGGACAAGAAAAUUGUGUAUAAACUCCAUGAUAUUUGAUUUUUGGUGUUAUUAUCACCAAGCAUGUCCUCUCUUUCCUAAAUUAAAAAUUUUGUGUUAUUAUCAUAUGAAAGUCAGGUAUGUUUUCUUAUAUUUAAAUUAUUGAAAGUGAAUUAGGUUAAAAGUUUUUUAUUUCCUUCUAAUUUUUUUUACUUAAUAAAUUGUCUUGGUAAUUUUUUUUUUAAAAUAAUCAUAAGAAAGAGCAUAUGUUGAAUUGGAAAUAUAUCAACUAAGUUAACAAACCCUUACUACUAUCUGUCACAUCCUAACCAAAAGAGAUAAUAUUGUCUUGGUAAUUUUUAACCUUCAAUUUCCAAUUCAUCACAUGGAAGCUAAACAAAGGGGUUAUGGAGCAUCAAUAGUUCAAGUUGGUUGUUUGGUAGAAAACACUCAUUGAGGUAUGGGAAACAGCAAGAGGCACACUAAUGGAAGUUGGGCCUUUUUUCCUUCUCUUUUUGCAUGUGCUUAUAGCCCACUUAGAAGUUGAUACUUACUCCACCAAUUCCUAUAUAAAGGGAUCAGAAGAUGCAUUGUAAGCAUAGGCCUCGUGUUUUGAGUUCCUAUGGAGAAUCAUAGAGUACAAUUCCUUGCUUUGUUUGCUUUAUUGGGUUUAGGGUUAGCUUCGGCCGCCAGAACUCUUAUUGCUUAUGAUGGCGAUGUCCAUGCCCCUGUGUUAGGGCAUACUUCUGUUGGAUAUGGUGGUGGAGAAGGAGCUGGUAGUGGAUAUGGAGUUAGCGUUGGAUAUGGCGGUGGUGGAGGAGGAGGACGUGGUGGUGGGGGUGGUUCUACAAAUGGUGGUGUUGGAUAUGGAAAUGGUGGAGGUGAAGGAAGUGGCGCUGGAUAUGGAGGUGGAGAAGAACGUGGUUAUGGCAAUGGUGGUGGUGGGGGAGGGGGAGGAAGUGGUGGUGGUGGUGGUGGUGGAAGUGGUGUCAGAUAUGGCCCGGUCGGUGGUUAUGGAAGUGGAGAAGGAGGUGGUUCUGGUGGUGGUUAUGGAGGCGGGGGAUCGGGUUAUGGAGGUGGUGGAGGUGGUGGCGGUGGUGGAAAUGGAGGUGGUAGUGGUGGUUAUGGUGCAGGAGAAGCGAGCGGAGGAGGAUAUGGAAGUGGUGGAGGACAAGGAGGAGGCUCAGGGAGCGGAGGGGGAGGGCAUGGAGGCGGCGGAGGAGGCGGUUGGGGAGGUGGGUAUGGUAGUGGAGGAAAUGGUGGUGGAUAUGGAAGUGGCGGAGGAGAAGGAGGAGGCUCAGGGAGUGGAGCAGGAGGACAUGGAGGUGGCGGAGGAGGUGGCUCCGGCGGUGGCUAUGGUGGUGGUGGAGGUGCACAAGGAGGAGGGUACGGAGGUGGGGGAGGGAGUGGAGGAGGGGGUGGUGGAUAUGCACCUUGAUUCUAUUUUAUUAUCUCAACAAAAAGGAAAAUAAUUUAAGAAGAAGAAGAAAGGUUAUAAAGAAGAGUACUAUUGAUUACAUUUUAUGUUCUUAAUAAAUGAAGUUUACUAUAGGGAUGAUAGUGAUUGAAGAAUGGGAAAUUAGGGACUCUUAUUUCAUUUGGAAACCCUUCCUUUUGAUCAUCUUUCCCUAAUCUGUAUUUGUAUUUUGUGUCAUGUGAUUUUCAAUUCUAAAUAUGCAAUUAAUUGUAAUUGUGAUUUACAACUUUUCCAUUCAUUUGUGCUCCAUCUAAAUGUAUGUAAACAUGAGAUUGAUGAUCACUAUAUUCAUUCAUCCAACAUACAAAUUCAAUCGUUAUUUUUACCGAGUUUUAAAUUUCACAUUUGCAUAUUGUUGAACUAAAAAAAUAUUGCACCAACUUAUAUCUAUGAAGUUUAAAAUGAGUUUCGAUAUCUCUAUACCUAGUUAACAAUAUUUGUAGAUCAAUCAUAUUUUUCAAUCAAUUAAAACCGUUUAUUUUUGGUAAUUUAUUAUGUAUAUAUUUGAUAUAAAGAUUUAAAAUACGAUAGAAUCGCUUAAGUCAAUCAAAACAUAGCUUAAUAGAAUACCCUCACAAUCUUAACUCUUUCUCUUACGCACCACUAAACUCAAAAUAAUAAUAAUAAUAUGAUUUAAUUAAUUCAUAAACAUCAUAUAAUAUCAUAAAAGUAUUAUUAUUUUAGUUUAAUAGUGAGUUUGGCGUAGUUGAAUUUCAGAAUAUUUUUUUUUGGCUAAACUAUUUAAUUAUAACUAUUUUUACAAAAAAAAAAAAAAAAUUGUUUUAACAUAAGAUACAUAUUAAAUUCACUGAACGUUUAAGAAUUCUUAAUCAUUCAUGUCUUUAAAUUUUGAUUCUAUUUCAAUCCAAUCACCAUUAUUAACCCGAUAAAAUUUACAACAAAGUAGAUCACUAACAAGCAUGAUAUGAGAUAAGAUUCCAUUAAUAACAUUAAACGUAUAUAGGAAUCAAAUAAUAUUUUGAAAAGACCUAUGAACCAAAUAAAAGUGCAGUACAAAUUAAAACAAAAACAAAAGGUUCGAUACUCAAACUUUUAUUAGUUUAAAAACAAUUAGAAAAAAGGAUUAAAUUUUAACUAAUUUAUGAAUAAAAAGAUUGUCUUGAAUCUAAAGUGGAACCACUUGGGAAUUCAGGCUCUCUAUUGAUCAUAUCAACACUUCCAUCUUCUCUAAGCAUCACCAUAUUUGAUUUUAUUUUCUUGGCAUAAAACGCUCUAUUACCUCUUUGAUGCCUGCCCAUUUGUGUUCUUGUUUUUGUCAGUUCAUACAAAUAUAUAAUAAUUCCUUUUUUUCUCAAUAUCAAAUAAAUCACUAGACUUUACUGCUGCCUUCAAAAAUUGUGAAAUAUACUAAGAAUAUGACUUUCUUUAAAAAAAAAAUGUUUUUUACAGACAAAUGAAACAAACAUAAAUUUCAAGAACUAAUAAAACCAAUUUUGUUAUCUUUACUCAAAAGCUAAGGAUGGCAAUGAAAAAAUAUAUAUAAUAAUAAAUUAGAUUUAUUCAACUUUGAUAUCAUCACUCACUCAUCUUUGUUUUUUUCUUUUUUUCUUUUUUUCUUUUUUUACUUUCUCACUUUUUAACAAUAGUUCAAAACUUUAGCUAACGUUUAAGAAAAUAGAUAGAUGGCUCGAGAAUCAACUAGUUUAGAGCAAAUUCAUAGCGACAAGAUUAGAAAUUGCUUAAGAAUCGAAUCUUUGGACAAGACUAUAUAACUGUUUUAGUUGAAGAAAAUAGAGAAACGAAUGGUUGAGACAUGAGAGACAAAAUGUUUUGAAGUGUUUUUGAAAAAGUAUUUUAUAAUAAUAAGAAGAAGAAGAACAAUAAUGAUAAUAUAAUAAAAUAAAUUAACUUACUUAUCAAAUACAACCCAUGUUGCAUGAAGGCUUGAGAUUUGCUCAACAAUAAGCAAUCUAAGUGGAUGACCCAUUACUACUUUCUUUUGUGGCACAACCUGAGAAACAAAAAGAAAAAAGAAAAAGGUAAUAAUAAUACACUGAUUCAUUAAUAAAAUAUGCUUUGAAAAUAUUAACCAAAAAUGUAUAUACCCCAUAUUUCCUACAGAGUGAUACCACAGCUUCAAGUUUUGCAUAUUUGGCUUCACUAAUAUACUCUCUUUCCACUCCCUCAAAGGACAUCUCCUCCAAAUUUAUUGGCCAAAUAUCCAACCAAGUUUUUGAUGAAACUACAAAAAUUCAUUUAUGUAAUGAUAUUAAGAAAACGCUAGAACAAUCAUACAGUUCGAUGUUAAGAAAAACAGGUAAAAAAACUCACGAGGAAUAUUGAGCCACGGCAUUGCACCAACAAGAGUAACGAUGCAACCAGGCUUAAUGACGUUGUCCAAUGCCCACUUAAGUGGGUCCGUUGUGAACUCUUCCAUUCCAUCCAUGACGACCACUACAUGUCUACUUGCAGCCUCUGAUGUUGAGCUCAAAGUCGGUGUUGGUGUUGGUGUUGGAGUUGGAGUUUGAGUUGGGGUUGGGGUUGGCGUAUCAUCCUCCAUGUCUUCGUUUCCAGCCCCUGCCAUGGCACAAAAAAUGAAAAUAAGGAAAAACAGUGUUGAUGGAAGACUACUUAAUAAUGUUUUCUAUAUAAUUCUUGUUUAGCUGUCUUGAGCAUAUUAAAUAACAAGGUUCGAUACUUACAAGAAUAUGCAUUGUAAUCUGCUCAACAAACCAACAAACAUCUCUAACAAUCAAUAUCUUCCAUCGAUUCUGUCAAAAUCAAACUCUUCCUACACUCAAAGCUCCAAAGUGAUGUGAUCCUUAUGCUAUUGAUCAUAGUUAUCAUCUCUAAAUAUCAGUCAAGUUACUAAAGAAAUUGCUUUAAAACAAAUUGAAACAGAUCGUCAUCAGAUAUGAAUUUGAUUAUAUAACAUGUCAAGCAUCAGAGUUGAAAAUGUUCUCUAUACAGAUUGAAAAAGCGUUGAUCGACUGAGGUCGAAUACAAAACCUGGACUCUUAUGAUAGCUAGAAAUAAAUUUAAAGGUCUUCCAUCACCACAUAUUUACCUCUAAAAAAAUAGCCUAAACAACUUUAGAGAGGGAGGGUAAAAAGCAAGGGAAACUAAAAAGCAAAAAUCUAUCAACUUGGCUUGCUACGGUUUCGGCUGCCAUGAAACGCAUCACAGAACUAUACUUGUUUUGCGACGAGUGUUAGGCGGGCUUGACCUUUUACAUGGUAAUGACCUUAGUCUCUUCUUCUUGUUCAAAGAGGAGCCUUCACUCUGAGAUCCCAAUAUAGCAGCAAUCAUUUUCGACCCUCUCGAACCUGGCAUGUUCUUCUUAACGUACCUCAUGGCUGCUUUUCUUUCAGAAUCUUCCACACCCUUAUUCAAUGGGCUUCCAGAUGUUGAGCACUUUUCUGUCUUCAGAUGAUCAACUGGGAUUCGGUAUUGUGGUUCUAAACAAAGUACAAAAAAUUCCAAAUAUUAAAUAUAGUCCAACCAGCCAAAUAUUAAACAGAAAACAUAUAGAGAUUAAAACAAGAUUUUACCUGGAGUACGGAAGACAUUAUCGGGGCUGGGAGAUCUCACUGGCGAUAGAGGAUGAAAACCAUCAAUACUUUCAUCUUCAUCAUUCAAACAGAGAUCCUUAGUUACAAUGGGAGAAGACUUCAUUGUUGCACUCUCAACUAUAUUCAAGUUAGCAGAAGUAGCAUUUUCCAAAUCACUGACACCAGUAUCUUGAUUCUCCAUUUCACAGGAAAACCGAGCAGGACUUGGUUGCAAAGUAUCCGCAGGUGCAUUUGCAGAUUCGUGAUUGACUUUAGACUCAGCAGCAAAUGAAGAGCAACCAGUACCGAUAUUUUGCAAAACCGACUUGGGAGAUGGAUUUGAGGAAUCUGAAUUCAAGCAAGGAUCCGAUCGUUGAAUUAAACUUGAGAACCAUGAAGUCCCCUUCCUCUUAUAUAACAAAAUGUAGGCCUCACGUGACAGCACAUACUCUUCAGUGACUGAAGUAACCUGAAUAACAUCAAAACCAGAAAGUUUUUUUGCUUCAGUAAAAGCUUACCGCACUUCACUAAAUCAAUGGAGAAUCAGCAGCUCCAUCAAUAGAAAAAGCACAUAACAGAAUUCCAGUUAAGUUAUAUCAGCACCCUCUUGAGGAUUAAUUAUCCUCAAGACCAAAACGAGUGCAACAACACAUCAGAUCAAUAUAGUAACUCAAAAAUAAGUAAUUGCUACUAUAAUUUCAGAAAUGGUGAUAUGAGAUACCAAAAGGUUCUACUGAUAUACAACCAAAAGCAAGGGGCCAAAUGCAGGGAAAGAAGAAAACGUGAAACAAAUUACAACUGGGAAGGAGAAUAUGAUCACUAAUUUAGUCGUCGCCAUAUAUCUAGCACGCUGCUAAAUCCCAGCAGUAAGUUGAAAAACUAAACAAAAUUGAAAAAUACUUCAUAAAUGUUAUACCAAUGAGUCGUCCAUUCUGUGCCAUGUAUCAGGAGAGGAACGAACAAAGCUGAAGUAGUGCCCAGAAGUAGAGGAAAACCCUGUGUGUUCCACAAUGGCAUACAAUUCAUAUUUGAGUUCCACCUGUUAUCGUCAAAGGGAAAAGAGAGAGAACCUCAGUAAUGAACCUAAACCAAUUGUAGGGCAAAGCCAAAAACAAAAAAUAUUACAGAGCUCAAAUAUUCUACAUUUUCAAGAUACUGAUGACAAUUCUUGUACAAACUUUACACCAUGAGGUAAGAAAAGUUAGAUAUUACCUCUGCAUCCUUGCCUCCCAGGGUGUACGGCUUCAAAUCUAACUCUAAUGGAAACUCCAAGUGCUUUUCGAUUUUCUCAACAAAAGAACUAUCAGCCUUGAAUCUCUUUAAGUGGAAUGUAGUAACCAAAGGGAUUUUUUCCAGCUUAAGCUGCUUCUCCACCCACACCUCCUCUUUGCAGUUUUCACACUUAAAUUUUGUUUCUGGAUCGCCAAUUCUCUCCACCUUGGUGAAAGAUUCCAGAGCACUGGAAAGGGAGUCCACAUUCUCAAUCUCCAAACUCAAGUCAACCAAAGGCUCAUGGGUUUCGGAACAAUGGCCACAAUUACAGCAGCAAAGCUGAAUAUGACACAAAUUGUAAAAAACAAGACACUGAAGCUCAAUACUUAAAAACAAAACAGUAAAGAUCAUUUUCUUACAUUGCUUAUGAGACGACCACCAAACACCUUAUUCACUAGAUCAUCAUCCUCUGAAGAAACUCGAUCCUUUCCUUCUGAAACCAUGCAUCUUUCAAGUUUAUCCAAGAAGCACUGCAUGAACUCAUGGGCAUCUUCCUGCUGGUAUCUCCAGAAAAAGGAUGAGAAGUCUAAUGCUAACUUAAGAAUAACAACAGUACAGCAAAGUUCUCAAAAGAUCAAAUAAUAAAACAAAGUACAAAAACAACUGCAACCUCCGUAACACGCAAGACCAUUUGUAUCCAAGUACCAUUAAAGAAAACCAACUAAAAGCAUGUUUGGAUUGACUUUCUAAGUGUUUAAAUAAAAGUAUAAAAUAAAUGUUUACAAUCACUUAGAAAGUCAGUCCAAACAAAACCUAACACACUGUGGUUAUCUUAAUCUCAGAUUUGCUCAGAUCGAGAUGCAGCUUCUUUGAAGCAAAUACAAAAUUCCUAACAAGUUAUCAUCACAUCAUACAAGGUACAAAAGGCACUAAUUAAAAGAAUUUUUAAGAAAAAAAAAUAUGGUGGAAAAUGAAAUAUAGAAAAGGAUACAGUUCAAGUUAUCAACAAGUUUCACUGGUGAGAUAAUCCCACCCAGAGAAGUUAAGGAGAGCUCGAUAUGAUCUCGAAUUGCACAAAAGACACAAAAACCUUCACCUGUGGAUGCAAAUUCGUAAUUCUUCAUCAACUACUGAGUCAUUAGAACCUAGAAACAGAGAGAACGUAUUGGUAGUGACAGUGAUCUUACUGUUACAAGGCAUAUCAUGAUUAGCAGAUCGAAGACCCUCCACAAAUGGAGCAGUAUGAGUGAGGCACUGCAAGAUUGCGUUAAUAAAACAAGUAUUCCCCAAAUUUGCAAGUCCCGCACCCUACGAAUUCAGAACAUAACCAAAACCAAACCCCAAAAAGAUAAAUAAAUGGAAAAUAAUAUAUCAAUUGCAACCAAGUAUAAAGAACUAAUUGAAAAUUAAGCUCACCGCAGAUAGAGAUUCGGUUUCUUGAGCAGACACGGAAUUUUCUGGGAAAGCUUCCUCUGAAGUAGACCACUCCAAAGACGAUCCCGGCAGAGGAGGCAAUGCGUCGAGUCCAUCAGAAUCAGACGAAUAAGUUGAGAAUGGCGAAGACCCAGUAGGGUUUAUCGAAGAAGAACCCCAAGACUGAUUAGCAGAGGCAUCCAUAGGCGAAAAAGAAAAAUUGCCGUUACGGCAAGAGGAAGAAUGAAGUAGAGAUUGUUGAGUUAGGGCAUCUUCGGUAGUAGUCGAGUGCCAAGACCCGGCUUCAAUUCCCAACGGAGGAACCAAAAAUGGAUCAAGUUCUUGAGAAUCAACCAAAUGGGUAGCCAUUAGAGAGAAUAAAACAAGAUAAUUAGAGUGAAAAGAAGAGAAAAACAGAGGUGGGUAUUGGAGAAGCAGAUAGAAAAGAAAGGGGGAAGAAGGUUUUUGGAUGAAAUUGAAGAGGGGGAAUUGGAAAAGAGAGAGGGAAAACGAAAAAGAAUCGGAAAAGGGUUUUAAUAUAUGGAUUUGAAAAGGGAGGGAAAACUCAAAAACUCCCAAAAAUUGGUCCUUUCCGCUUCAGAACAAAAAAGGGGAAAACGAAAAAAAAAUGAGAGGGAAAGAGAAGAAAGAGACGCGGAAGACGAUAAUGGUGACUGUUUCAUUUUCGUUUUUUAAUUCCUUUUUAAACACUUUCUUAAUUUCACUCCAAAACUCAUUCUAUUUAGGGUUUAAAUUCACUCACUCCCAACAGCUUUCGAUUUUUAUUUUUAUUUUAAAUAUUCAAAAUUAGGGUUUCUAUUUUACUUAUAUUUAUUACAUUUCAACUCAUAUAAUUCUAUUUUUUAAACUAAAUUAAUUUAAGCAUUGACUUAAAUUUAACUUCAAACGUUGCAGGCAUUAAAUUGAAAAAUGUGAUGAUUUAGUGGUUUAGUAGAAAAUUUUGUUGUUUCUCCUAACAUUUUGCCUAUAAUGAAGAAUCAAACCUCUAAUUUCAAGACUUGAUAUUAUUCAGACUUCAUGAAUCAACAAAUUAACUUUGUUUAAAACCAUUUUCUAAACUCCAUAGACUAAAUAAAUGUGUUUAUAUAAAAUUAACCAACCAUAGAAUGCAUAGGCUAAAUUCAAAAAUUCAAUGAAAAAGAAGUAACAUAAGAGAAUUAUGUAUUAGUUCUUUAAAUAUAGCACUCAAAUUAUUACUGAAACACAUACAAUAACCUCACAACUAUAACCAAAACUCAAUACAAAUUCAGGUCCUAAGCUCUUGUGAGAUAGGAAUGCCAAAUUUUGGUGGAGAAAAUACGGUAUGUAUUGUUUUGUUUGCUACAAAAAAAAAAAAAAAAAAGUAGAACUAAAGCACAUGUUCACUGCAGCAGCUAGAAAAACAAAAGAACCACCAGCGAAUGUUCAAGUCCUGUGUAAAAGGGUUGCUUUUUGAAAGAAUCUUUAUACUGAAAUUUCUUUACAUUCCUCAGUAAUAAAAUCCGCUGGUAAUAAAAAAAAACGUAUCGAGUUCGAGCCAAAUUCUACAAUGAAAAGGAACACUUGAAAAUAAUCAAAUGAUUCUGUCUUGAAGAUCUGUAAUUAAUGUAGAUGCCAAGGAGCUUAGCUUCUUCCCUGUUUCUCCUGCAAUGUUCUUGAGAGAAGAAAGAUCCUGCUGUGCCUGGACAAAAGUAAAUGAAUGUAUCACAUAUAUGUAAUACAAUGCUAAGGAAAUCAUGAACCCAAGCACAAUUGCACAGUUUAACAAGGAUUAGUAUAGAACCUGAAUAGAAAGCCGGUUAAUAAACUCAGUUGCAGUAAGAUCGGCAGAAGGAUUAUCUCGCUGGUUACCAAAUAGAUCGGCACUAGAGAUGGAAGCUGAGCCCUGCGAAUAGAAGGAUGGCAAGUAAGGGGAAUGAAAGCACUAUGAUUUAAUUUAAACAGUCAGACAUAUCAGCAAUAUAAAGAACGGUUUCCAUCCAAUCUGUGGAAAGUAUUAACUAAUAUAGCGCUUAUCAUUCAGUACCAAAAGUUGAAAAUGCAGUCCCAAAGCCUCAUCAUAAAAACAGAAACGGACCGAACACAGUGUUUUUCCCUUUUUUCUUUAAUACAUUUUAUGGUUUAUGGUUCUUUUUUGAUUGAGCUUUUACUUACCUUCAUCUAGAGAGGGUUUUUUCUCGUAACAUGUACCAAAUGUGUCCAAAACACAUACUUAACAUGUCAGGAAAUUAUAUAUAGCGUAAACUAUAAAUCCUUGAUAAGGAAAGAAUCAGAAUAUAGAACUUCCUUUUUUUAAAUGAAAACGACAACUUUCAUUGAGAAACAAUAAAAGAAUACAAGGGCACAAAAAAAACCAGGCCACAAAACCACCCCAUUAAAGAAAGAGGGACCAACUAAAUAAAAUGUUUGUCUAUAGAAUAUUUACAAAAGUUCUUCGAAACCGAAGCCCAAAGAAACACGUGAUAUCUAAUCAAAGACCAAAUCAGAAUAUAACACAUAAAAGAGUUCCUGCUCUAUCAUGAAGGAUUGAAUAGUCAAAUGGUAAGAGGUCUGUAUAAAUAGCAUAACUAGAAAAGUAUGGACAACAAUUUCCACUUAAUUAACGAUAAAGGCAAAGGUACAAACCGAGAAUUUUUGGAGGGAGGCCUGAGCAUCAGCAUCAGCUCUGUUCUGAUCACCAAAGUAUUGGGCUGAUGAUAUAGAUUUGGCAUUGGAAAAUUUCUUCCUUGCUUCGUCACUUUCUUCAAUCUAACAUCAAUCAUGUUGUUAGAACAGAGAUCAAAAGAGGUAGAGACAUUGAUAUGAUGGACCCAUGUGCGCAACCAGCAAAAAU